This 1026-nucleotide ribosomal RNA is filed under the name Candidatus Woesebacteria bacterium. Its description in RNAcentral is "partial 23S ribosomal RNA". It matches the Rfam family "Bacterial large subunit ribosomal RNA", at positions 257 to 1232 of the family's 2925-position model. The record is from RNAcentral. Lineage: Bacteria; Candidatus Woeseibacteriota.
AGCGGGAAGAGCCUAAACCUGGUUGCAUGUAUAAGGCUGCGACCGUUGUGCACCAGGGGUUGUGGGAUCUUGACGAGGUGUGUUGCAGAACACCUGGAGAGUCAGAAAAUCUGUUGAUAGUCGAAUUGUUCUGGAAAGACAAGCCAUAGUGGGUGAUAGCCCUGUAGACGAAAUCAUCAGAUCUCUUUUGUCGAGACACCCGAGUACUGCGGGGCACGUGAAACCCUGUGGGAAUCUGCCCGGACCACCGGGUAAGGCUAAAUAUGCUACUGUGACCGAUAGUGAACCAGUACCGUGAGGGAAAGGUGAAAAGUACCCCGGAAGGGGAGUGAAAUAGUACCUGAAAUCAUGUGCCUACAACCAGUCGGAGCCCCCAAGAGGGGUGACGGCGUGCCUUUUGCAUAAUGAGCCAGCGAGUUGUGGUAAGCAGCGCAGGUUAAGUCUUUCAGAGACGAAGCCGUAGCGAAAGCGAGUCUGAAUAGGGCGAAAUAGUUGCUUGCUGCAGACGCGAAGCCGGGUGAUCUACCCAUGGCCAGGAUGAAGCAUCUGUAAAAGGAUGUGGAGGUCCGAACCCACCAGAGUUGAAGAUCUGGGGGAUGAGCUGUGGGUCGGAGUGAAAGGCUAAUCAAACCUGGAGAUAGCUGGUUCUCCCCGAAAUAUAUUUAGGUAUAGCCUCGUUGAAUUCGUAGUGGCGGUAGAGCACAGUUGGGGUUUUGGGGGCGCAAGCUUACCGGAUCCUUACUAACUCCGAAUGCUAUUGCGUUUGAAAGCGGGAGACAGACUGUGGGGGAUAAGCUUCAUAGUCGAGAGGGAAACAGCCCAGACCAUCAGUUAAGGUCCUUAAAUAUCUGUUAAGUGGUAAAAGAAGUGGAGAUGCACAGACAGCCAGGAGGUUGGCUUGGAAGCAGCCAUCCUUUAAAGAAAGCGUAACAGCUCACUGGUCAAGUGUUUCUGCGCUGAAGAAUGUACGGGGCUAAACAGGUUACCGAAGCUAUGGCUUAUACAAGCCGUUUGUGUUUGUGUAGG